CUACGGGCGGCAGCAGUGAGGAAUAUUGCACAAUGGGGGGAACCCUGAUGCAGCAACGCCGCGUGGAGGAUGACGCAUUUCGGUGUGUAAACUCCUUUUAUAUGUCAAGAAAAUGACGGUAGCAUAUGAAUAAGCACCGGCUAACUCCGUGCCAGCAGCCGCGGUAAUACGGAGGGUGCAAGCGUUACUCGGAAUCACUGGGCGUAAAGGACGCGUAGGCGGGUUGGAAAGUCAGGUGUGAAAUCCUACAGCUUAACUGUAGAACUGCACUUGAAACUUCUAAUCUAGAGUAUGGGAGGGGAGAUGGAAUUAUUGGUGUAGGGGUAAAAUCCGUAGAUAUCACGAGGAAUACCUAAAGCGAAGGCGAUCUCCUGGAACAUUACUGACGCUAAGGCGUGAAAGCGUGGGGAGCAAACAGGAUUAGAUACCCCAGUAGUC
This 438-nucleotide ribosomal RNA is filed under the name uncultured bacterium. RNAcentral's name for it is "partial 16S ribosomal RNA". It matches the Rfam family "Bacterial small subunit ribosomal RNA", at positions 339 to 795 of the family's 1533-position model. The record is from RNAcentral.